This 48-nucleotide non-coding RNA is filed under the name Schistosoma margrebowiei. Lineage: Eukaryota; Metazoa; Platyhelminthes; Trematoda; Strigeidida; Schistosomatidae. The record is from RNAcentral.
AUUCAGCUGACAAGUCCUAAAUAGGACUAAACGCGCAUCAAACUGGAU